RNAcentral lists this long non-coding RNA (1829 nucleotides) under Homo sapiens (human). RNAcentral describes it as "HSALNT0404526". Lineage: Eukaryota; Metazoa; Chordata; Mammalia; Primates; Hominidae. The record is from RNAcentral.
GAAGCGCGCAGCGAGCAGAGGGUGGGUGCAGGUGGCGGUCCCCGAGUCGGCCCAGUGAGGGCUGAACUGCUGCUCCCAGGAACCGAGCGGGGUGGGCUCGGUCCGACGCGCAUCAUGGCCGAGUGCCUAGGCCUGACUCUGAGCGCAGGCCUAGCGUGGAUGGCAUGGGCGCUACACAGCUCCAAGUUACGCGAUUCAAACUCUUGGAAUAAACCCAGGGCAGCCCUGGGGCUGUGUUGAUUCCUUGUCUCCCUCCCUCCCAGCAUUUACAGAAAAGACGCAUUUAUAGGAAAGACGCACGGGCAGGUCCAGCAGAGCCCUUACAAGCAUUUCAACCUUUUAGAAAUCAGAUAAGACCCUCUAAACAUCGUUACAUGGGCCACAGUUACAUUAAGACAGGCGUUCUGACGUUCUGAAACCGCCUUUGCAAAAAAUUGUAUCGGUGAGAGAAGGUUGGCCUUGAAGGAGAUCUGGCCAACCCCCAUCUUGCCUUUGGCCUUAAAACUGCCCUUAAUUAUUCCUGGAUAAGCAAAGGUAACUUUGGGAGACAUUUAUAGUUUAAGUGAUAGCAGCCCUUCCUCAAAACUAAACAGCCUUUGUAAAGCUAAUGAGACCACUGAAACCGCCUUUGCAAAAAUCAUAACUGAAGAAAUUAUGACAGGGGAAGAUCUCCUCACCCACCCCAUCUUCCUGCUAUCCUCUAAGCUGCUUUUGUUCAUUCCUGGGUGUAGACCAGACUAGCCUUGGGAAGGAAUUUAGUUUAUAGAUUAAACUGAAACAAAAUUGAUAAUAGCCCUUUCCCAAAAAAACCCUUCUUGCCUGGGGACCAGUCUGCCUUUGUAGGACUAACAAAUUAAGCUACGAGAUUAAAAAUUACAGUUUAGGGGCCAUGCAACCUCUGGCGGCAAGAGUCUGAACCUCCCCAAAUUGCUUCUGGGAAUAACAUCACUGUUGCAAAACUUAAGGUUUCUUGCAUGUCUCACACGGAUGGAUCCAGCUAAAUGUCUUGCCAACAGCUCCUGUGGCCCCACCCAGAAGCCAUGCAGCACAAAAGGACCAAAAGGACAGCUAGAUUUCAUCUCGCACCUAACCAAUCAGCACUCCCCAUGCCCUAGCCCCCUGUUCACCAAACUACCUUUGAACAACCCCUAACCCAUGAGCCUUCAAUUGUAACCGAGCAGCUUAGCAGCUGUGAAUCCAAAAUAUCUGAGACAGGACUCAAUCUGUUUAGAAAGUUUAUUUUGUCAAGGUUAAGGACAAGCCCAUGACACAGCCUCAGGAGGUCCUGAUGACAUGUGCCCUGGGUGGCUGGGGCACAGCUUGCUUUCAUACAUUUUUAGGGAGACAUGAGACAUCAAUCAAUAUGUGUAAGAUGGAAAAAGAAGAAAAAAUAUAUGUAUAAGAUGUACAUUAAGCCGGGCGCGGUGGCUCACGCCUAUAAUCCCAGUACUUUGGGAGGCUGAGGCAGGUGGAUGGCCUGAGGUCAGGAGUUCGAGACCAGCCUGGCCAACAUAGUGAAACCCUGUCUCUACUAAAAAUACAAAAAAUUAGCUGGGCGCGGUGGUGGGUUUCACUCGUGUCCAUGUGAAGAGACCACCAAACAGGCUUUGUGUGAGCAAUCAAGCUGUUUAUUUCACCUGGGUGCAGGUGGGCUGAGUCUGAAAAGAGAGUCAGUGAAGGGAGAUAAGGGUGGGGCCGUUUUAUAGGAUUUGGGUAGAUAAAGGAAAAUUAUAGUCAAAGGGGGGUUGUUCUCUGGCGGGCAGAGUGGGAGUCACAAGGUGCUCAGUAGGGGAGCUUUUGAGCCAGGAUGAGCCAGGAGAAGGAAUUUC